UACGUAGGGAGCAAGCGUUGUUCGGAUUUACUGGGCGUAAAGGGCGCGUAGGCGGCAAAUUAAGUCAGCUGUGAAAUCUCCGAGCUUAACUCGGAACGGUCAGCUGAUACUGAUCUGCUAGAGUGCGGAAGGGGCAAUCGGAAUUCUCGGUGUAGCGGUGAAAUGCGUAGAUAUCGAGAGGAACACCUGCGGCGAAGGCGGGUUGCUGGGCUGAUACUGACGCUGAGGCGCGAAAGCCAGGGGAGCGAACGGG
RNAcentral lists this ribosomal RNA (253 nucleotides) under uncultured bacterium. RNAcentral describes it as "partial 16S ribosomal RNA". It matches the Rfam family "Bacterial small subunit ribosomal RNA", at positions 524 to 776 of the family's 1533-position model. The record is from RNAcentral.